AUUGAACGCUGGCGGCAGGCCUAACACAUGCAAGUCGAACGGAGUGGCGGACGGGUGAGUAAUGCCUGGGAAUCUGCCUGGUAGUGGGGGAUAACGUCCGGAAACGGGCGCUAAUACCGCAUACUAUCAGAUGAGCCUAGGUCGGAUUAGCUAGUUGGUGGGGUAAAGGCCUACCAAGGCGACGAUCCGUAACUGGUAUGAGAGGAUGCUCAGUCACAUUGUAACUGAGAAACGAGCCAGACUCAUACGGAAGGCAGCAGUGGGGAAUAUUGGAAAAUGGGAGAAAGCCUGAUCCAGCCAUGCCGCAUGUGUGAAGAAGGUCUUCGGAUUGUAAAGCACUUUAAGUUGGGAGGCGUGGCCAACAGAAUAAGCACCGGCUAACUCCGUGCCAGCAGCCGCGGUAAUAC
Molecule: ribosomal RNA, 407 nt
Filed under: uncultured bacterium
Lineage: Bacteria
Description: partial 16S ribosomal RNA
Rfam family: Bacterial small subunit ribosomal RNA
Source: RNAcentral